GAAGUGCGAUAAGCAAUGCGAAUUGCAGAACCGUGAGUCAUCAGAUUUUUGAACGCAACUGGCGCUGGCUGGGUCUCCAGCCAGCAUGCUUGUUUCAGUGUCUUGUUUUCUCCUCACCCAAAACUUAAUGCGAGAGAUACCCUUCUCUUGCCAAGCAUGAAAGCACUCUUCUUCUGCGAGCGGCUUUUGACUUGUCAAUGGUCGCACUCAAUGCAGACGUCACAUUUCUAACAAUGUGAACUCAUUGAGAGCAGAAGCAGUCAGCUAACGCUGUCAGUGCUUAGUCACUUAAACUUUUCUUGCACCUGAAAUCAAGCAGGACCACCCGCUGAACUUAA
This 338-nucleotide unclassified non-coding RNA is filed under the name uncultured fungus. RNAcentral's name for it is "sequence contains ITS1". The stretch from base 1 to 103 matches the Rfam family "5.8S ribosomal RNA", at positions 50 to 154 of the family's 154-position model. Lineage: Eukaryota; Fungi. The record is from RNAcentral.